CAGAAAAAAGCUAAGGCAUAGCGCCAACUGCUUUCACAAAGGUGUAUCGCCGUCUGGUCACUUAAGGUGUAACGCCGGUCGCUCUUAUGAAGAUUAUUAUUAUCUUCCCGCUGAGAUAGUAUCGCCGUGUGCAAAAGGCAGGGCUAUCACCGUCUCACAACUAAGGGCUAUCGCUAUCUCACGACUAAGGGGUUAUCGACGUCUCACGACCAAGGG
Molecule: long non-coding RNA, 216 nt
Filed under: Amborella trichopoda
Lineage: Eukaryota; Viridiplantae; Streptophyta; Magnoliopsida; Amborellales; Amborellaceae
Description: long non-coding RNA (ATRI_LNC001386)
Source: RNAcentral